AAAAAAAAGAGAGGGAGAUUUAGAUUAGAUGUUAGGACAAAAUUCUUCACUUAGAGGCUGGUGAGGCACUCGAACUGGUUGCCAGAGAAUCUGGGGAUGCUCCAUCCCUGGGGGUGUUCAAGGCCAGGUUGGACAAGGCCCUGGGCU
Oxyura jamaicensis (ruddy duck) is the source of this 147-nucleotide long non-coding RNA. RefSeq lists it as uncharacterized. The record is from RefSeq and is a predicted model, not a curated record. The transcript is spliced from 3 exons. Lineage: Eukaryota; Metazoa; Chordata; Aves; Anseriformes; Anatidae.